Aphis gossypii (cotton aphid) is the source of this 376-nucleotide long non-coding RNA. RefSeq lists it as uncharacterized. The record is from RefSeq and is a predicted model, not a curated record. Lineage: Eukaryota; Metazoa; Arthropoda; Insecta; Hemiptera; Aphididae. The transcript has 2 exons.
UAUCUAUUUAUACCUACAAUAUACUUAAAAAUAUAAUGUUCUCUGUUCAGAAGUACUUUUAAUUUGCAUUUAUUCAAAUUUUGCAUUCUGGCAUAGUAAUUAUUAUUAAGAACUAACAUUAUCCGUAUUUACUACAAAAAUACUUAGUCAGAUGGUUUGAAAGAUAAAUAAUGAAAUCACAUAACUUUCUACCUCCAAAUUUGCAAAUGAGAACGAUGAUAAAUCAAAAUAUUGUUUCCAAUAUAUAAUUUUGAUAGUUGAAGAUACUAUAAAAUUAAUUAAAUAUUCAACUACUCAAGUUAAUUUCAAAGAAGUUAAAAAAUCAAGUCUGACAAUAUGCAUUCCAGAAGAAAACUAAUUCCAAUAAUAUAGUAAA